This 647-nucleotide long non-coding RNA is filed under the name Lactuca sativa (garden lettuce). Its description in RNAcentral is "long non-coding RNA (LSAT_LNC002697)". The record is from RNAcentral. Lineage: Eukaryota; Viridiplantae; Streptophyta; Magnoliopsida; Asterales; Asteraceae.
AGCACUGCCAGAGACGACAACCUAAUGUUGCAGGUAAGUUUUCUUUCCUGAAAAUAGAUCGAUUGUUCUUCUUUCCCCCCCCCCCCCUGAAAACCAAUUCUGAUAAUUGAAAUCGAUCGACGGCCUCAUGAGUUAUCAAUUUUUUUAUUUUCUUUGAAUUUCUGUUCUGAGAUCGAUUUUCUUUGUAUCAGGCCCUUCCGUUCCAGUUUUUUAUUCUGAAUUUUCUUCAAAAUAUUUAGUGUUUGACAUUGAUUUUUGCUACAAAUUUAUGCUAUUUAGAUUGGAAUUCGUCAUUGGGUAAUCUGGAUUUUGAGUGUUCUUGGUUCUGAUUCGAAAUUUGAACACCGACACUCCUGAUUUUGAGUGUGCUUGAAAGGGUUUUUCAUGUUUUUGAUUGAUUUUCUGUGGAACAGGCGGAUUGUGAUUUAUUUUUGCAAAUGGGUAUUUUACCAGAUUUUGAAGAUUGAUUCAUUUCCAGGAAAUGGUCUUGAUUUUGGCUGAUGGAAAGUUGUUUUGAUGGUGAAUCAUUAGAAUCAAAUCACAGGUUUUGAAUCUUUAUUGAUGACAUUAGACAGGGAUGAAAUUUGGCUUUCACAUGGUGACAGACAGGAAUGAAAUUUGGCUGAUCAGACUAUUGUUAUUGCAUU